GGGUGCGAUCAUACCAGCACUAAUGCACCGGAUCGCAUUAGAACUCCGCAGUUAAGCGUGCUUGGGUGAGAGUAGUACUAUGUGAGGGUGACAUCCCUUGGAAGUCUUCCUGUCGCUCCCC
RNAcentral lists this ribosomal RNA (121 nucleotides) under Gossypium raimondii (Peruvian cotton). Lineage: Eukaryota; Viridiplantae; Streptophyta; Magnoliopsida; Malvales; Malvaceae. The record is from RNAcentral.